RNAcentral lists this ribosomal RNA (234 nucleotides) under uncultured bacterium. RNAcentral's name for it is "partial 16S ribosomal RNA". It matches the Rfam family "Bacterial small subunit ribosomal RNA", at positions 1268 to 1500 of the family's 1533-position model. The record is from RNAcentral.
CAAAUCCCAGAAAGAACCGUCCCCAGUUCGGAUUGCAGUCUGCAACUCGACUGCAUGAAGCCGGAAUCGCUAGUAAUCGCGGAUCAGAAUGCCGCGGUGGAUACGUUCCCGGGUCUUGUACACACCGCCCGUCACACCAUGGGAGCCGGUAAUACCCGAAGCCAGUAGUCCAACCACGUGAGGACGCUGCCGAAGGUAGGAUUGGCGACUGGGGUGAAGUCGUAACAAGGUACC